UUCGAUUAAGCCAUGCGAGUCGAGAGUCCUCGGGACUCGGCGUACCGCUCAGUAACACGUGGGUAACCUGCCCUAUGCUGGGGAAUAACCUCGGGAAACUGAGAAUAAUGCCCCAUAGCCCACUACGCCUGGAACGGUGAGUGGGUCAAAGCCCCGGCGGCAUAGGAUGGGCCUGCGCCGUAUCAGGUUGUAGGGGGUGUAAAGUACCCUCUAGCCAUCAACGCGUACGGGUGUUGGGAGACAUUGCCCGGAGAUGGAUUCUGAGACACGAAUCCAGACCCUACGGGGUGCAGCAGGCGCGAAAACUUGGCAAUGCGAGCAAUCGUGACCAGGGAACUCCAAGUGCGUAGGGUAAGACCUACGCUUUUCUUGACUCUUCGAAGGUCUUGGAAUAAGGGGUGGGUAAGGACGGUGCCAGCCGCCGCGGUAAUACCGGCGCCUCAAGUGGUAGUCGCUUUUAUUGGGCCUAAAACGUCCGUAGCCGGUCUGGUGCAUUCGUGGGUAAAUCAACCCGCUCAACGGGUUGAAUUCUGCGAGCACGGCCAGACUUGGGACCGGGAGAGGUGUGGGGUACUCUCAGGGUAGGGGUAAAAUCCUGUCAUCCUGAGAGGACCACCUGUUGCGAAGGCGCCACACUAGAACGGAUCCGACGGUCAGGGACGAAACCUAGGGGCACGAACCGGAUUAGAUACCCGGGUAGUCCUAGGUGUAAACGCUGUGGACUUGAUGUUGGGGGCGCUCCGAGCGCUCUCAGUGUCGAAGCGAAGGUGAUAAGUCCACUGCCUGGGGAGUACGGUCGCAAGGCUGAAACUUAAAGGAAUUGGCGGGGGAGCACUGCAACCUGAGGAUUGUGCG
Molecule: ribosomal RNA, 855 nt
Filed under: uncultured archaeon
Lineage: Archaea
Description: bacterial SSU rRNA
Rfam family: Archaeal small subunit ribosomal RNA
Source: RNAcentral